Molecule: ribosomal RNA, 1387 nt
Filed under: uncultured bacterium
Lineage: Bacteria
Description: bacterial SSU rRNA
Rfam family: Bacterial small subunit ribosomal RNA
Source: RNAcentral
GAAUUCGCCCUUAGAGUUUGAUCCUGGCUCAGGACGAACGCUGGCGGCGCGCCUAACACAUGCAAGUCGAACGGAGCUAUGUUGAAAGCUUGCUGGAUAUAUAGCUUAGUGGCGGACGGGUGAGUAACACGUGAGCAACCUGCCUUUCAGAGUGGAAUAACGUUUGGAAACGAACGCUAAUACCGCAUAAUGUCAGAGGAUGGCAUCAUUCUUUGACCAAAGAUUUAUCGCUGAAAGAUGGGCUCGCGGCCGAUUAGGUAGUUGGUGAGAUAAUAGCCCACCAAGCCGACGAUCGGUAGCCGGACUGAGAGGUUGAACGGCCACAUUGGGACUGAGACACGGCCCAGACUCCUACGGGAGGCAGCAGUGGGGGAUAUUGCACAAUGGGGGAAACCCUGAUGCAGCGACGCCGCGUGAGGGAAGACGGCCUUCGGGUUGUAAACCUCUGUCUUCGGGGACGAAUAAAUGACGGUACCCGAGGAGGAAGCCACGGCUAACUACGUGCCAGCAGCCGCGGUAAUACGUAGGUGGCAAGCGUUGUCCGGAAUUACUGGGUGUAAAGGGAGCGUAGGCGGGGAGGCAAGUUGAAUGUCUAAACUAUCGGCUCAACUGAUAGUCGCGUUCAAAACUGCCACUCUUGAGUGCAGUAGAGGUAGGCGGAAUUCCUAGUGUAGCGGUGAAAUGCGUAGAUAUUAGGAGGAACACCAGUGGCGAAGGCGGCCUACUGGGCUGUAACUGACGCUGAGGCUCGAAAGCGUGGGUAGCAAACAGGAUUAGAUACCCUGGUAGUCCACGCCGUAAACGAUGAUUUACUAGGUGUGGGGGGACUGACCCCUUCCGUGCCGGAGUUAACACAAUAAGUAAUCCACCUGGGGAGUACGGCCGCAAGGCUGAAACUCAAAGGAAUUGACGGGGGCCCGCACAAGCAGUGGAGUAUGUGGUUUAAUUCGAAGCAACGCGAAGAACCUUACCAGGUCUUGACAUCGAGUGACGAACUUAGAGAUAAGUUCUUCCUUCGGGACACGAAGACAGGUGGUGCAUGGUUGUCGUCAGCUCGUGUCGUGAGAUGUUGGGUUAAGUCCCGCAACGAGCGCAACCCUUAUCAUUAGUUGCUACGCAAGAGCACUCUAAUGAGACUGCCGUUGAUAAAACGGAGGAAGGUGGGGAUGACGUCAAAUCAUCAUGCCCCCUAUGAGCAGGGCUACACACGUGCUACAAUGGCGUAAACAAAGGGAGGCAGAACCGCGAGGUCGAGCAAAUCCCAAAAAUAACGUCUCAGUUCGGAUUGUAGUCUGCAACUCGACUACAUGAAGCUGGAAUCGCUAGUAAUCGCGAAUCAGAAUGUCGCGGUGAAUACGUUCCCGGGUCUUGUACACACCGCCCGUCA